AACGAACGCUGGCGGCAUGCCUAACACAUGCAAGUCGAACGAUGCCUUCGGGCAUAGUGGCGCACGGGUGCGUAACGCGUGGGAAUCUGCCUUUCGGUUCGGAAUAACUCAGGGAAACUUGAGCUAAUACCGGAUAACGUCGCAAGACCAAAGAUUUAUCACCGAAAGAUGAGCCCGCGUAGGAUUAGCUAGUUGGUGAGGUAAAGGCUCACCAAGGCGACGAUCCUUAGCUGGUCUGAGAGGAUGAUCAGCCACACUGGGACUGAGACACGGCCCAGACUCAAAGGGGGGGAGGAGGGGGGGAAUAUGGGAAAUGGGGGAAAGGCUUGACCAAGAAGGGCCGGGGGGGGAAGGAGGCCCUUGGGGUGGAAAGCUUUUUUUCCCGGGAAAGAAAAGAGGGGACCGGGGAAAAAAACCCCGGCCAAACCCGUGC
Molecule: ribosomal RNA, 433 nt
Filed under: uncultured bacterium
Lineage: Bacteria
Description: partial 16S ribosomal RNA
Rfam family: Bacterial small subunit ribosomal RNA
Source: RNAcentral